Molecule: ribosomal RNA, 481 nt
Filed under: uncultured bacterium
Lineage: Bacteria
Description: bacterial SSU rRNA
Rfam family: Bacterial small subunit ribosomal RNA
Source: RNAcentral
CUACGUGCCAGCAGCCGCGGUAAUACGGAAGGUCCAGGCGUUAUCCGGAUUUAUUGGGUUUAAAGGGAGCGUAGGCCGGAGAUUAAGUGUGUUGUGAAAUGUAGACGCUCAACGUCUGACUUGCAGCGCAUACUGGUUUCCUUGAGUACGCACAACGUUGGCGGAAUUCGUCGUGUAGCGGUGAAAUGCUUAGAUAUGACGAAGAACUCCGAUUGCGAAGGCAGCUGACGGGAGCGCAACUGACGCUUAAGCUCGAAGGUGCGGGUAUCAAACAGGAUUAGAUACCCUGGUAGUCCGCACAGUAAACGAUGGAUGCCCGCUGUUGGUACCUGGUAUCAGCGGCUAAGCGAAAGCAUUAAGCAUCCCACCUGGGGAGUACGCCGGCAACGGUGAAACUCAAAGGAAUUGACGGGGGCCCGCACAAGCGGAGGAACAUGUGGUUUAAUUCGAUGAUACGCGAGGAACCUUACCCGGGCUUGAA